This 406-nucleotide ribosomal RNA is filed under the name uncultured bacterium. Its description in RNAcentral is "partial 16S ribosomal RNA". It matches the Rfam family "Bacterial small subunit ribosomal RNA", at positions 30 to 526 of the family's 1533-position model. The record is from RNAcentral.
AUUGAACGCUGGCGGCAGGCCUAACACAUGCAAGUCGAACGAGUGGCGGACGGGUGAGUAAUGUCUCGGAACCUGCCUGAUGGAGGGGGAUAACUACUGGAAACGGUAGCUAAUACCGCAUACCAUCAGAUGUGCCCAUAUGGGAUUAGCUAGUUGGUGGGGUAAAGGCUCACCAAGGCGACGAUCCCUAGCUGGUCUGAGAGGAUGACCAGCCACACUGGGACUGAGACACGGUCCAGACUCCUACGGGAGGCAGCAGUGGGGAAUUUUGCACAAUGGGCGCAACCCUGAUGCAGCCAUGCCGCGUGUAUGAAGAAGGCCUUCGGGUUGUAAAGUACUUUUGGCGGGGAGGCGGUACCCGCAGAAGAAGCACCGGCUAACUACGUGCCAGCAGCCGCGGUAAUUC